CAAAGAGUGAACAAACUGACUCAAAAUUAAUCCAUACAGAUCUGUCCCCUUAAUAAGACUAAUUCCGGAGAACAAAGCAGAGCAUAAUGCAUUUUAAAUUAAGUUGGAAAAUGCAUAAUUUAUAUUUGUUUUAUUUCUUCGUAUUUUAACACAGGUGCAUUCCAGAAUGCUAAGAACUACAGGAGAAGGGCAUGCUUCCGACCAUGGUUUUUUACUUUUGAAAACUGAAGGAUCUAAGAUUUGUCCUCUUGUUCAGGAAGUGAGAGCAGAAUCAGACAGAAAAGAUGAACGCAGUGAGAAAGUACAAAUUGGAAGAAGUGAACUCGAGAUCCAACUUGAUCUUCAAAUGGCCAGUGGAUUCCACCAACGCCCUUGCUACAACGCUCCUUCGGUGUUUUGAGAUGUCACCUUUAGAAUCUACUGAAUGCCCGCCUGUAUGUGGAACUGUAAUAGAUUGAAUGGAUACAUUGAAGUUUAGCUUCCUGAACCUGCACAGAUUUCUGAAAAAUCCCUGAUCUUCAGCUUCAUCAUCUAUCAAUCAUCAAUAGCCCAGGCUGAAGUACAGUGACACAAUCUCGGCUCACUGCAAUGUCUGCUUCCCAGGUUCAAGCUAUUCUCCUGCCUCAGCCUCCCAAGGAACUGGGAUUACAGGAGACAGCAACCUUGGCUUUGCUUAUAGCUCUAAGCAGGGCUGUUCCCAGAGGAGGACUGUCCUUCUGAGGAAAGAAGGCACGGAGCUGGUUACAAUCCCAGGGAGGAUGUCUGCACAGAGAGGCGAAAGAGGAGACAUCGUUCACUGGAUGUUGGAGAAGAGAUGAAAAAAAUAAAGGAGAAGGCAGUUUAGCAACGGGAUGGAGACAAAAAAGAAUCCUGUACUCACGAAAUUCAGGGGAUCUUCGUCCUCCUCUCCCCUUCAUAAAGGAGCGAGGCCUGUCUGAUAGGAACAGGAAGAGUUGGACUCUCACUGGCCAGUAUUUUUCUCUCAGGUAGGAUUCAUGUGUUAAAGAAACUGCCCUUAUGUGCUCUCUGUAACCAGCCUCUCUUGAAAAAUAGGUCACAAUUCUCCAUGCAGUAGGCUGGAUAAGCACUCGCAGGUUGUCAGCUUGAGGGGAAUGUAUCAGAAUGCUGACUUUGGCUGCAGAUGCAAGCUAUGUUCUCCCACAGUUUAGUCGAUAUCUUCCUACCUCGCUGGAGCGUGUCUCAAUUGACGCAAAACUUGCAGGCAAGAAAGUUCUGAUUAAGUACUCUCUGUAAACCUCAAGUGUGCCCGAAAACAUGUAGUGGCCGUUGAACUUGAGCACCAUGAUUCCCGAAACACACUAUGGACUGGGCACAGCAGUCAAUAGUUUGGGGCCAGUGGUGUAAUUUGUUCUGUUGAAGGAGUGUGUAGAUA
Molecule: long non-coding RNA, 1393 nt
Organism: Callithrix jacchus (white-tufted-ear marmoset)
Lineage: Eukaryota; Metazoa; Chordata; Mammalia; Primates; Cebidae
Source: RefSeq, a predicted model, not a curated record